This is an RNA transcript of Vicia villosa (hairy vetch), 2945 nucleotides long. RefSeq lists it as uncharacterized. The record is from RefSeq and is a predicted model, not a curated record. NCBI's taxonomy places the organism in Eukaryota, Viridiplantae, Streptophyta, Magnoliopsida, Fabales, Fabaceae. The transcript has 4 exons.
UUUCCCUUCUCUUUCUUCUGGUAACCUUUUCCUUCUCUCUCACUAUUUUCUCUUUUCUCCUUUCCGUUUUCCUUUCAAACCCUAGCCAAUUCAAUCUUUUCCCUUCAAACCCUCUCUCUUUCCGCCGCUGCUGAAGCAACCAUGUCAAUCUUUGUCUACGAUUCUAUGAUUCUAUGAUAUCUUAGAAAUUCUUCUUUAUUUCAAUCUUUUUCACUCCUUCUCAUUUUUUUAGAGUUUUGAUUUCAUUUUUAUUUUUUUCAUUUGCACUCCUUCGUAUUUUUAGAUCUACGGUGUUAUGAUUUAAUUUUUUGUUUGCUUCUUCUAAUUUCUGGUGUUUUUUUAGGGGUUUUGAUUUCAGAAGAAAGAAGAAAGUAAACAACAAAUCUUUUCGAAAGAUUUACAUGUGGUGAGCAUUGUUUAUGAUUUUAGUGCUUUUAUCAUGGAACUCCAAUCAGUUCAGGGACAGUUGUGGCUCAUAGAUGAAUAUUAUUUAUCCUAGAGACGCCCUUGAAUUGUUUAAGCAGAGUUGUGAAUUUGUUUGCCCUGAUGAUGGUUUUCUAGAGGAGGUGUGUAUUAUGAAGGUCACUCUAUAUGCUGUAAAUGUUGGUUGUACUACUUAACACAUUUGUGGAAAACGACAAAGACAUUACUUUUGCAGCUGUUGAGACGUUUAUGUUCUGUUUAUUGUGUCUUCUGCAGCUAUUUGAGACGUGGAUUGGGGUGGCAUCUUCCCAAAGUUGUAGGUUUGGAGCUAUUCACAUCCCUGGUGAUGGCCUUUAUAAGUUGGCAACUAUUUUCGGCAUGCCAAAGAUCUUCAUUAUGAGAAGAUUGUUACCUAAUGAUUAAAUUCUGCAUAACUAUUUUUUUACUAGAGUUAUGCUCUAAUGUAAACUUCUGUUCACAACAGCCAUGCAGUUUUAUUAAGUUUCAUUAUUUUUUAAUUGCAGUUUUUCAAUAUUUUGGUCUUAUUGCUUUAGCUGAAGUUGUUCUAACUGUUGCUCAAGUUGCAGUUGAGGUUGUUAAGUUCCAAUCUGUUCAUAUCUGUAAAGGAAAAUUAUAAGAAGUUAAGCAUGUUAAAACUAAGCACUCUAAAGAUGCUUCUGAGGAUUGUCCAGAAGAAGAAGCACUUUGUGGGAUUUGUUUGGUAGAGCUUCCGGGAGGGGGACAUAUGCUUAGGAUGGGCUGCAGUUUUAAAGGCGAGCAGAUGAAAAGAUUAGAUAUUAGUUGGUAAUUAAUUUUACAUUGAUUUCAUUGGAGAGCAAAAUAUUGAUGGUAACACUAAUUUGAUAUUUUGCUUUUGUGUAACAAUAGACCAGGAGAGUGGGGAGAUCAUGUUACUCUAGAAGCAGCUGCAAACCGGGUGAAACUUAAGCAGCAACCCUUAAUUGUUUCUACUGUUAUCAUAACUUAGCAGCCCCUAAUUGUUUCUAUUGUUUUUUGUUAUGACAGACAAAGUGCUAAACUCUGCUUAUUUAGUAUUGGUCCUCAUAACUAUGUAAGGCUAUAAAAAUAUUGUUGUUUAUUAAGUGUAUUGUUCAGUGGUAAAUAUGAACUUUGUUGCACCAUCACUUGAUUCUGUUGGUAUGUUUUUCUCACCAAUCACAUACCUUUGUCUUUAUUAUGCCCAUGGAAAAUGGGAAUGAUAUGAAGCUAUGUUUUUCUUUGUUGAUCUGCUUCCUUGAUCUCUAUAUAUAAUAGUGGUUUAACUUGGAUGAAGGUAAAAUACUUCCAUUUCAUAACACUUACUAGAUCGUUAGGUUGUAUUAAUUUUGGAGUAGGUUGUUUAAACACUCACAUUUCUUAUGACACGGUCGUGGUAUAGAAACAAAUCUCCAUGCUCAAUUUAGAUGUGAUUCUAUCAAACUUGCUGAGGUAAUGCUUAUAGUUUAGUUAAUUCAUGUCCUCAAAUACCAUUUGAUCAUACACAAAUUAGUCUUUUUGAUUGAAUUGAGAAUUUCAUGGCAAUUCAAUAAAGAUUUGACUAAUCUCAGUUCUGAUUUGUACUUUGGUUUAUAUUAUCUUGGUAGAAAAUAUUUCCUUCCGUGUGCAGCUUCCAAAACAAAAUUUACUUUUUUUCAUACUAUACCGUUUUGAUAUGUAUAUAUAUUUAUAAUAAUAUUAUCUGUUAAUUUUUUGUAGGUGCUACAAUAUAUAAAAAUAUAAUUGUUGCCAAUUGCUUGCCUAUGUUUUAUUGCUGGAGGCUGCAUUAUUUUGAUGAGUUUGAGUGGCUGUCUAGGCCGUUGUGUGGGUGUUAAGGUAGCAGCUUGGUGUUGUUGUUAAUCUCGGGUUCAUCUUGGCCGUUUAUUCUUUUUCUGGUCAUUCUCUUGGAAUUUUCUCGCCCUAUUAGCUAUCAUCGUACGCGUCAAAUUUUAGUAAGUUUCGGAUGCUUGCAGUUCUGUUUCGGGUAAUGAGCAGGAUAGUUUCAACAGUAUUGCAAAAGUUUGUAAAGUGGUGUUCUGUUUUACUGGUUUUGGUGAUUUGUUUUUUUUUUUUUGUUGUUUUUUAGUUGCUAUUUUCAUGGUGAAUGUGGUAUAUGUAAUGGUUGGGUAGUUAAUAGUUAGUUUAGGUGGUAUUUUAUGUGAUAAGGGUCGAGUUCAGUUUUGUUGUUCUUAGGACCUGUUUUUAAUCACUAGCAGGAUAAACAAUAUGUAAUGGUUUUUAUAGACAUUCAUGAUGACUUAUUUAAUCUUAUAUACCUUUUGCCCCUUUCAAAUAAUAUAUAAAAGUAUAAACAAAUUUUUUGUGGAACUACUUGCUGAGCUUCCAUCCUUUGGUAUACAUUAGAUUGCUAAUAGAUCAAUAGAUCAAUGGGGACCUAUAAUUGUUGGAAUACCACUCUUUCUAUUAGGUAUCUUAUUAUUAUACACAAAUUAGUUUUUUUUUUUGUUGAAUUUAGAAUUUCAUGGAAGUUGAGACAAUUUCAUGGUGAAAGAAAAUCAGUUGUG